Molecule: ribosomal RNA, 642 nt
Filed under: uncultured Actinomycetes bacterium
Lineage: Bacteria; Bacillati; Actinomycetota; Actinomycetes
Description: bacterial SSU rRNA
Rfam family: Bacterial small subunit ribosomal RNA
Source: RNAcentral
CGCGGCCUAUCAGCUUGUUGGUGGGGUAAUGGCCUACCAAGGCGACGACGGGUAGCCGGCCUGAGAGGGCGACCGGCCACACUGGGACUGAGACACGGCCCAGACUCCUACGGGAGGCAGCAGUGGGGAAUAUUGCACAAUGGGCGAAAGCCUGAUGCAGCGACGCCACGUGAGGGAUGACGGCCUUCGGGUUGUAAACCUCUUUCAGCAGGGAAGAAGCGAAAGUGACGGUACCUGCAGAAGAAGCGCCGGCUAACUACGUGCCAGCAGCCGCGGUAAUACGUAGGGCGCAAGCGUUGUCCGGAAUUAUUGGGCGUGAAGAGCUCGUAGGCGGCUUGUCACGUCGGAUGUGAAAGCCCGAGGCUUAACCUCGGGUCUGCAUUCGAUACGGGCUAGCUAGAGUGUGGUAGGGGAGAUCGGAAUUCCUGGUGUAGCGGUGGAAUGCGCAGAUAUCAGGAGGAACACCAAUGGCGAAGGCAGGACUCUGGGCCAUUACUGACACUGAGGAGCGAAAGCGUGGGGAGCGAACAGGAUUAGAUACCCUGGUAGUCCACGCCGUAAACGGUGGGCACUAGUUGUGGGGACCUUCCACGGUCUCCGCGACGCAGCUAACGCAUUAAGUGCCCCGCCUGGGGAGUACGG